This 319-nucleotide ribosomal RNA is filed under the name uncultured eukaryote. RNAcentral describes it as "partial 18S ribosomal RNA". It matches the Rfam family "Eukaryotic small subunit ribosomal RNA", at positions 1470 to 1796 of the family's 1831-position model. The record is from RNAcentral.
CCCUUAGAUGUUCUGGGCAGCACGCGCGCUACAAUGGUCUUCGCAAACGGAUGCAUUCUCGAAGGAGAAUGCCAAUCUUGGAAUCUAUGCCUUGGUCGAGACAGUUGCUUGCAAUUUUUCGACUCGAACCAGGAAUUCCCUGUAAUCGUGAUUCAUCACAUCACGAUGAAUACGUCCCUGCCCUUUGUACACACCGCCCGUCGCUCCUACCGAUCGAAGAGUUAGGUGAAUUGUUUUGAUCGAUAAGAUUUGACUAUGGUCAACUCUCGUUGUGAAAUUCUGUGAAUCUGACUGUUUAGAGGAAGGAAAAGUCGUAACA